ACCGUUCCAAAUGCUUGGACUUAUCCCACUAUUCAUUAAAUGAUAUCAUCUUUCCCUCAAGUCCAAGUAUAGUUGAAAGUUAAUAUUUUUUAUACUCCACCGGUGGUAGACACACCGUUAUGGAACCGACACAAACAUUCAUCCACCGACGUGUCUCCCCCCACCAUCGUUUCACCGCCGUCAGAACCGUUUCUACACCUAUAUAACCCUCACACAACCAGAAUAACCGCCGGUCAUGUAUCACCCAUCUGAAACCUUGGCAGACUCAUGGUGUGAGGGGAGUUGCAUUCAUAAAUCCAGUCACUCAAUUUCCAAUUAAUAAUACUAUUCCGCCGCAAAGUAAUCUGCCACAAAACCCCAACGUAGUCGGCACCGGCCGGAUUCUGCACAGAUUUUCAAUUUACUCCACCGUCACCGGUUCAACAAGAAGAGACGGCCGAUGGUUUUAUUAAUUGCAUAAUCUCCCAACAAAACUUCAUCGUCAAUUAUCAUACAUAUAAUGCUACAAAGCGUGGAGGAUUUCUGGAGUUGCAACUUUGCCGUAGAAAUUAAAAAGAUAAAGGAUUGAAGCAAAGAUAAAAGACCAGGAAGAAUAAGCGAACCCGGUUCAGGCAGAUCACAGAUGUAGCAUUCCUACUAAAAGGAAACGUUUCAUUUGGAGCAAAUGAUGGAACCGCGGUGGCUGUGCAGGUUCGGUUGUUGUGCUGUGGUGGCGGUGGUUCAAUGGUGGUGUUGUGGUGUCGGUGGUGAUUUCCUCCAAUGCUUUUGAAUGGUGGUAUUUGGAGAUGUGAGAUAUGAUUUUGAAUGGUGGUAUUUGGAUAAUACACGUUGUAUUUUGAUGAGUUGUUUGGUGCUUACAUCCACUGUUUUACCAUUAAUCUCUCACCUACUAUUUUAUCACUCCCAAUAUAAUAAUUUUCUCCC
Long non-coding RNA from Helianthus annuus (common sunflower), 924 nucleotides. RefSeq lists it as uncharacterized. NCBI's taxonomy places the organism in Eukaryota, Viridiplantae, Streptophyta, Magnoliopsida, Asterales, Asteraceae. The transcript has 2 exons. The record is from RefSeq and is a predicted model, not a curated record.